RNA transcript from Cercocebus atys (sooty mangabey), 523 nucleotides. It is a transcript of the gene named protein UXT pseudogene, with no coding region annotated. NCBI's taxonomy places the organism in Eukaryota, Metazoa, Chordata, Mammalia, Primates, Cercopithecidae. The record is from RefSeq and is a predicted model, not a curated record. The transcript has a single exon.
GAGCCCAUCAUGGCAACGCCCCCUAAGUGGUGGGCAGUGGAGGCCACGAGGGAGAGAGUGCUGCGCCACAAGACUUUCAUCAGUGACAUGCUGCAGCGGGACUUGCGAGAGGUGCUGGACCAUCGAGACAAGAUACAUGAACAGCUGGCCAAAUACCUUCAACUGAGAAACGUCAUUGAGCGACUCCAGGAAGCUAAGCACUCAGAGUUAUAUAUGCAGGUAGAUUUGGCUGUAACUUCUUCACUGACACGGUGGUCCCAGAUACUUCAUGCAUCUAUGUGGCCCUGGGAUAUGGUUUUUUCCUGGAGUUGACACUGGCAGAAGCUCUCCAGUUCAUUGAUCGUAAGAGCUCUCUCCUCACAGAGCUCAGCAACAGCCUCACCAAGGACUCCAUGAAUAUGAAAGCCCAUAUCCACAUGUUGCUAGAGGGACUUAGAGAACUACAAGGCCUGCAGAAUUUCCCAGAGAAGCCUCACCAUUGACUUCUUCCCCCCAUCCUCAGACAUUAAAGAGCCUGAAUGCC